This 4309-nucleotide long non-coding RNA is filed under the name Homo sapiens (human). Its description in RNAcentral is "HSALNT0017245". The record is from RNAcentral. Lineage: Eukaryota; Metazoa; Chordata; Mammalia; Primates; Hominidae.
CAAAGUGCUGGGAUUACAGGUGUAAGUCACUGCACCUGGCCAGUUUGAUUCGUUUUUACUUAAUUUUUAUAUAUGGCGUGAGGUAGAGUAAGAAAAAACAAACUUUUUCCUUGUAUACUCUCAAUACUCAGUACAUCACUUCUGACACCAGAUGUUUAGGUUGUUUUCCCCAAGACCAAGCAAUUUCCCCGUUCUCUGCAGACACCAAGUAGGUAUUCUACAAUUCAAUUCUGACGCUAACCAGAGUUAAUGCAGACCAUACACCCAGGCUCAGUCCCAUGAAACUGCCCCCCACUUCAGACAUCAAUUGCAAAUAAUAGGUCCCCUGGUUACAGUUCCCACAGUACUUUGCUAGAAUCGCUCACAGAACUCAGAGAAACACUUCUGUUUCUCUUUUUAAAAGGAUGCAACUCAGGAAUAGCCAGAUUGAAGAGAUUCGUGGGGCAAGGUAUGGAGGAAGGGUCGUGGAACUUCCAUGCUCUCGGUACCUGCACAUGUUCAGCAACCUAGAAAGCUGUCUAAACCUUUUGGGUUUUUAUGGAGGGGCUUCAUUAUGAAGGCAUGACUGAUUAAAUCAUUGGCUACUGGUAAUCAACUUAACCUUCAGGACUUCCCCCUCCCCUGGAGGUCUACUCUCUAAUUACUUGGUUGGUUCCUCCUGGCAACUUCCCCCCAUCCAGAUCCCCCAGACAUUAGUCAUUUCAUUAGCAUACAAAGAUACUCACAGCUUGGGGACUUGGGAUGUUGCAAGGGUUUUAGGAGCUAUGUGCCAGGAAACUGGUACAAGACCAAAAUAUGUAUUUCUUCUAUCGCAAUAUCACAUAGAGGUUCAACUUUUUUUUUGCAUGUGUACAUUCAGUUAUUGCAGCAUCAUUUGUUGAAAGUCAGUUGGCCAUAGAUGUAUGGGUUUAUUUCUGAAGCCUCAAUUCUAUUCUAUUGAUCUGUAUGUUAGUAUCAUCUGUACUUGUGCCAACAGCCCACUGUUUAGACCACUGUAGUUUUAUAGUAAGUUUUGAAAUUGGGAAGUGUCAGUCCUCCAACUUUGGCCUUUUCCGCAUUGUUUUGGCUAUUCACGGCGUUUACAAUUCCAUAUGAGUUUGAUGGUAAGCUUUUCCAUUUUUCAAAAAGGCUGUUGGAAUUUUGAUAGGGCUCUCAGUGAAUCUGUAGACUGCUUUGGGUAGUACUGCCAUCUUAAUAAUACAGUCUUUCAAUACAUGAACACAGGAUUGUGGCAGGCCAGGUCUCACUAAUGCAGGCCUCCAUAACGACUGUUUCACUACUGACUGAAGGGUUAAGUUAAAUAUUAAAAGUCAGUCUCCUUAUACAAAGGCUGGGAUGCCACAAAAGCCCAUCAAGAGUUUUGCCUAGGUCUUUCCUGGGCCUUAAAGCAUGACAAAAUAAUACAGGAAUUCUUAACAGGGCCCAUUUAGGAUUGAACAAGUUUUAUUGUGGGUCUGAAGAAACUCCCCAGGCCUCCACAAACAAGUUUAUCGGGGGUCUGAAGGAACUCCCCAAACCUCCGUGAUUUAGCAGGAGACAAGGGUAACUGCCCCAGCACCUGGACCCAUUUAGAUUAAGUAAAUUUACUGAGGCUCCAGAGGAAGGCCUUCAGGACUCAGACCUUAGUUAUAGAUUAAAAGAAGUUAAUCACUUACAUCCUUAGAUGAAUGCACACUUACACAUGGACAUAUAGCUUAGAAGGUAUAUAAGCUCUGGAAAACUUUGUAAUUUUGAAUUGGUCUGGUGAUAAUUUCCAGGCCUUCUCCCUGUAACCGGUUGCAGAAAUGAAAACUCCCUUCCUCCCCAGUUCAUUUGCAUCUCGUUAUUGGGCCACGAGAAACAGCAGCCCAAACCUCAGUUUGGUCUGGGAACAAAAUUUGGCGUGCCAGCCAGGAGAGACUGGAAUGGUGCUGCAUUCAGUGGCCAGUGGCUUGCAAGGAGACAGUCUUUAGGGGGAUCCCAGCAGCUGCAGGUGAGAUUUUCCCAGGGACCCCCUUGAAGGCUGUCCUGUGCUCAAAAGUGCACAACCCUUACAAUGCUGGGUUAGAAUGGAGAUCAGGAGCGGACGAACUCAAAGGGUGAGUUAACUGAAUGGUAUGCUGGGAGCCUAUUGUUUUCCCAUCUAGGCUUGUUAAACCAUUUGUCUGGCACUGCCACGGGAAGCAAUAAUAAGGCUUGGUUAUACACCCGCUUUGCAUUUUGAUUGAGAUCAGGUUUUGAAUCUGUUUUGCCCGAGUGCACUUCCCCUUGUGUUGUCCAAAAUUUGUCUCCACUUGUUUAUCUGUCUUACUCCUUUUGAUACCAUGUAAACUUAAAAAUGGAAGGUAUUGGGUCCAUUCCUGCUGAGAGGCCUCUGGGAAGGAAAAUAUAAUUUUUAGGAGCUCAAUGGUUAAGUCAGCUUAAUUAAAAGCUAACAUCCAAGAUAUGUAAAUGUAUGUGUGCAUGUGUGCAUGCUUGUAUUUAAAAGGCCUUUAUGUUUUUGUUUAUUUCUUAGGACCUUGUCUUUUUGAGCAAAAGUUUUUUUCUUCUCAGUUGACUGAAUUCUGUUUUCUUCAUUAAUAGCUAUUGCAACAGAAGCUACUCUGGGUUUUUUAAGAAAAAGUGUAAUUUAGACACUUAGAAAUCUCUUGUGUGGGAAAAAAAAUUUUUUUUAAGUGCACUGUAAAAGCAUCACAUGGUCUAGCCUCAGAAUAAUUCUCCCUUUUUGAAAACCUCUUUCCUUUAUAAAUUACUCAGGUUUCUUUGUAGCACCAUGAGAGUGGACUAAUACAUGUCUUUCUAGGAAUUUGUCUGUAAACUAGUUUACCUAGUUUAUUGGUGUACAGUUUUUCUUUAUGUAAGGUGACUAAUAAUGUCCCCACUUUCAUUUCUGAUUUUAGUUUUACCUGUUUUAUUUUUCUUAGUCAGUAUGGCUACAGAUUUGUCAAUUUGGUCUUUCUUUUUAAAGAACUAACUGUUGACUUCUUUGAUCUCUCUUGUUUUUCUAUUCUCUAUUUGUCUGCACUCUAAUCUUAAUUUCCUUCCUUCUUCUCACAUUGGGUUUAGUUCUUUUUUUAUUUCCUUAAGGUGUUAUGUUAGAUUGCUGAUUUGAGAUCUUUUUUAUUUUUUAAAUUUAGCUCACUAACUCUUAUCUUUAUUAUUAUUGUUAUUGACACUGUUAAACCAACAGUUGCAGAAGUGUGCCACGAGUUUGUGGUUACAAAAGUGUAUAUAAUUUUUUUUUAGUUUUUUAAUUGUAACGUGUAAAAUUUACCAUUUUAAAUAUUUUUUAAAUGUACAAUGCAGUAGCAUUAAGUAGACUGACAUUGUUGUACAACCAUCAUCACUGUUUAUCUCCAGAACAUUUUUGUCAUCCCAAUCUCUAAUUCUAUACCCACUAAAUAAAAACUUCCCAUUCUACACUCUCUCCAGUCCCUGAUAACCACUAUUCUGCUUUCCAUCUCUACAAAUUUGUCUCUUCUAGGAACUCAUAUAAAUGGAAUCAUUUGACAUUUGACUUUUUGUGUCUGACUUAUUUCACUUAGUAUAAUAUUCUAAAGGUUCAUCUACAUUGUAGCAUCAAAUUUCAUUCCUUAAGGCUGAAUAGUAUUUCUUCACAUGUAUAUACCAGAUUUUGUUUAUCUAUUCAUCCAUCGAUGGACACUGUGUUACAUCCACCUUUUGGCUAUUGUGAAUAAUGCAGCUGUGAACACUGUUGUACAAAUACCUAUUCUAGUUUCUGCUUUCUUUUGGGAAUCUACCUAGAAGCAGAAUUGCUAGGCCAUAUGGUAACUCUAUGUUUAAUAUUUUGAGGAUCUGCCACACUGUUUUCAACAUUUUACAUUCCCACAAACAAUGCAUAGGGGUUCCAAUUUCUCCACAUCUUUGACAUUUAUAAUUUGCUUUUUUGAUAACUGCCAUCCUAAUGGAUGUGAAGUGGUAUUAAUUUGCAUUUCCUUAAUGAGUAGUUAUGCUGAGCAUCUUUUGAUGUGCUUAUUGGCCAUCUAUAUAUCCUUUUUGGAGAAAUGUCUAUUCAGGUCCUUUGCUAAUUUUUUUUGUUUUUGUUUUUUUUUGAGAGGAAGUUUCACUCUUGUUGCCCAGGCUGGAGUGUAAUGGCGCGAUCUCGGCUCACUGCAGCCUCCACCUCCCAGGUUCAAGAAAUUCGCCUGCCUCACCCUCUCCAGUAGCUGGGUAUACAGGCGUCCACUACCACACACGGCUUAUUUUUUGUAUUCUUUUUUUUUUUGAGACAGAGUUUCGCUCCGUCACCCAGGCUGGAGUGCAGCGGCGCGAUCUCGGCUCACUACAACCUCCGCCUCCCAGGUUCAAG